GGCCUCGUAGCUCAGUUGGCUAGAGCGUUGGCUGUACUAAAGCCUUUCCUUUGCUGUCGUGGGUUCGACUCCAACUGAGACCG
Schistocephalus solidus is the source of this 83-nucleotide non-coding RNA. Lineage: Eukaryota; Metazoa; Platyhelminthes; Cestoda; Diphyllobothriidea; Diphyllobothriidae. The record is from Rfam.